GACGAACGCUGGCGGCGUGCCUAAUACAUGCAAGUUGAGCGAUGAAGCUUGGUGCUUGCACCAAUUUGAAGAGCGGCGAACGGGUGAGUAACGCGUGGGGAAUCUGCCUUUGAGCGGGGGACAACAUUUGGAAACGAAUGCUAAUACCGCAUAACAACUUUAAACAUAAGUUUUAAGUUUGAAAGAUGCAAUUGCAUCACUCAAAGAUGAUCCCGCGUUGUAUUAGCUAGUUGGUGAGGUAAAGGCUCACCAAGGCGAUGAUACAUAGCCGACCUGAGAGGGUGAUCGGCCACAUUGGGACUGAGACACGGCCCAAACUCCUACGGGAGGCAGCAGUAGGGAAUCUUCGGCAAUGGACGAAAGUCUGACCGAGCAACGCCGCGUGAGUGAAGAAGGUUUUCGGAUCGUAAAACUCUGUUGGUAGAGAAGAACGUUGGUGAGAGUGGAAAGCUCAUCAAGUGACGGUAACUACCCAGAAAGGGACGGCUAACUACGUG
RNAcentral lists this ribosomal RNA (497 nucleotides) under uncultured bacterium. Its description in RNAcentral is "partial 16S ribosomal RNA". It matches the Rfam family "Bacterial small subunit ribosomal RNA", at positions 28 to 507 of the family's 1533-position model. The record is from RNAcentral.